Molecule: long non-coding RNA, 1147 nt
Filed under: Vigna radiata
Lineage: Eukaryota; Viridiplantae; Streptophyta; Magnoliopsida; Fabales; Fabaceae
Description: long non-coding RNA (VRAD_LNC018283)
Source: RNAcentral
GAUAGUCCAUGGUGUCCUAGCCUUAUUGGAUCCUACAAAACAACCAUAUAAGUAUUAAAAAGAAAUCAUUCUAAGACUUAGAAAAAGAAAAUCAAGAAAAAGUCUUUCUUCACUCCCCUUUCUUAGCCUUAGCUUUAGUUAGUACUCCUUUGAAUGGAAUGCCUUAAAUGGGUUUCCAUCAUACCCUCCCUCUUGAAAAACGAUUUGUCCUCAAAUCGGGAAGAUAUAAAGAAGCACAACUUUGGUUUGUCACUUUCCUCCUGGAUCAAAAACAUAUCUACAAUAAGCAUCAAACAUAUCUCCAAUUAGUAUCAAUCCAAGAAAGAAUUUUUUUGUGGAAGUAACUUUAGAAUAAGGACUUUGUUUUAUAGUUUUAAGGAAUUUUGAAAGUCCUAAUUCCCAAGUCACUUUUCUUUUAUCUUGAGUUUCUUGUAUCCCUAAGGGUAACAAUAACUCAAGAUUUAAAUUGCCAUAUUUUGAAGAAGUUUGCAUUGAAUAUGGAAUGACAAUUGCUUUUAAAAAAAUUAAGAUUUGAAGACUCAACAAUAAUUGGAAAAGAAAUAAAGAAUUGGAAACCUUCCCUUUUAGGUUCCAUGGUUUUUGAAAGGAUGGAAGAUUUCUCCUUUUCUUUCUUCUCUCUUUCUUGCCUUUCUCUAUUCUUUUCUUCUUCUCUUCUCUCUUUCUCUUCUCUCUUCUUCUUUUCUUUGCUCUUCUCUCCUCUCUUCUUCUCUUCUUCUCUCUUCUUCUCUUCUCUCUAUCUCUCUUUCUCUUUUCUUUUCCUUGAUCUCUUUAAGUUUGGCUCCAAAUUCUAGUUCUCUCCUAAGAAACCCAUGAUCAUUUAAACUCUCAAGAAAUAUUUUUCCAUCUUCAAUGUAAUCUCUAAUUAAUUCUAGGUUUCUUUUAAUUCUUGAAGGCACAAACUUUCUCCUCAUGCAAGCUUUUAAAUCAUACCAAUCAUGAAUGGGAGACUUUCUACCUUUCCUAACAUAAUAUUGUCUUUCAUCCCACCACUCACUUGCAUGUUNUUCUAACUUAGAGAGAUAAAUGCUAAGCACAUAAGACUCACUCUCUCUAUGAAACCAAGNAUUUAUUUUAUCUAUCUCUUGUUCCCAAGCUAGGUAUGUUAAUGCACCUAUGUCUUUGCCAA